GGGCCCGCACAAGCGGUGGAGUAUGUGGUUUAAUUCGACGCAACGCGAAGAACCUUACCAGGACUUGACAUCCUCUGACAAUCUAAGAGAUUAGAUGUUCUGCCUUCGGGCAGACAGAGAGACAGGUGGUGCAUGGUUGUCGUCAGCUCGUGUCGUGAGAUGUUGGGUUAAGUCCCGCAACGAGCGCAACCCUUGUCUUUAGUUGCCAGCAUUUCGGAUGGGCACUCUAGAGAUACUGCCGGUGACAAACCGGAGGAAGGUGGGGAUGACGUCAAAUCAUCAUGCCCUUUAUGUCCUGGGCUACACACGUACUACAAUGGCCUGUACAAAGGGUCGCGAAGCCGUAAGGUGGAGCCAAUCCCAAAAAGCAGGUCUCAGUUCGGAUUGCAGGCUGCAACUCGCCUGCAUGAAGUCGGAAUCGCUAGUAAUCGCGGAUCAGCAUGCCGCGGUGAAUACGUUCCCGGGCCUU
RNAcentral lists this ribosomal RNA (469 nucleotides) under uncultured bacterium. RNAcentral describes it as "bacterial SSU rRNA". It matches the Rfam family "Bacterial small subunit ribosomal RNA", at positions 917 to 1382 of the family's 1533-position model. The record is from RNAcentral.